CACACACAGUACUCACUCAGUUUCCGCAUGCUCAUGGUGUGGCUGCAGUGUGGCUAAAAGAUCAGCUUCAGGUUGGGUGAUAAAUGGAUCAUCUGUGUGGGGAUGCAGUCGAACAGAGGAGGGAGAGCCAGACAGGAAACUGGUGCGGGGAUAGUGUGAGAGACAUGAUGACACUGAAUCCAAAGCUACGUGUAUGUCUGCAGUGCUGUGCAGCUUCUGGGACCAGGAGCACUCCUGACGAGAUCCAGACAGAAUCAUCACACACAGAGCUUCCCAACUCCUCAUCAUUCAGCUCUCAGAGGAAUAUAACAGAUCAGCUCUCAUGUAUACACACCUCUGCACAUAAUGUAGGGGGAGGGUAGUAAAGACAAAGGGAUGCAUAGAGGCCAUGAGUCUUCAUUCAGAGCACUGUGCAGGUACCAUUAGAUAGAAGUGUAAUCAGGCCUAACAACAAAGACAUGAUACUCUCACCCCAGCAGUGGUCAUGCUGCAAUUUGAGCUGAACAAGAGCACUUACCAAGGUUUAAAGAAGCAAAUAUAUAUAUUAUAAAACAUCCCAGUGAAGUAAUCCCUUUCAUUACUUAUGACCCACUGCUUCUGAUAGCUUACUUCCUGCUCUAUAAGGAAAUAUUUAUAACAUACUGCCCUAAAAGCAACCCACAGGUCCCAGAUAGCCAUGAUUAAGUAAAAACUGAAUUGCUUUGGACACAAAAUAUUCAUUGUCGGUAUAAAAUCAAAACACUUCCUGUUUUCCUUUCUUCCUCUCCCUGUUGCACACAAAAACACACUCGCCGUGCCAGCUUAAUCUUUCCUUAUUCUCUCAGCAUCCACUCAGCUGGCACAGACCAUGACCCAGUCAACAUGCAACAGUCGUACUGAACUUCAAACAGGAGGACGUAUGGAGGAAUAUCACAAAGAGAGGAAAAUGGGAGUGGAAAGGGAGAGGCAGAGAGUGUGUGUGCGUGUGUGUAAAGACAGAAACCAAGAAACACAAAGAGAGAGAGAGAGAGAGAGAGAGAGAGAGAAAGAGACAGAGAAAGGGAGAGAGAGCAAAAUUGAAAAACAAAGAGAGGAAGACAGCAGAUGGUGUCAGGGAUCAUUGUGAGUGUGACGCCUGCCAAAUCAAAACACAGCUUGACAAUAUUUUUUCACUUAUCACUUAUUUCUUAUCUCAUUCUGUGGUACUUUUACCAUUACCAUUCCAGUAUCUAUCUAUCUAUCUAUCUAUCUAUCUAUCUAUCUAUCUAUCUAUCUAUCUAUCUAUCUAUCUAUCUAUAAACAAAGAUUUGAACAUCUGCAGUUCUACGACAACCGGGCAACUCCAUCUGCAGAGAAACACCAUGUGAUAUGGUAAAAAGCUCUGGAACAGCUGCCAAUGGUCCGUGUCGUCAGAUAGUUUUCUCACUUUAAGACUAAGACUUCAACCCUGUGUUUUGCACCUUGCUCCUUUUAUAUAAAUAAAAUCAAUUUUCAGGUUGUCGCAUGAGCUGUAAUCACACCAGCGGUUCAACUUGCUGGAAAGGAUAACGUUCUCUCUGUUUUGAAAUUCAUGAAAUAUGUCAGGAGCUAACCAUGCACAUUUGCAUAAUUCUGCAUUGUAACUCUUGUAUGUAACAACACAGAAGGAAUGCUUUUGAGCAAAUCCUUUCUCAUCUUCUUCAGGAUUUAUUUAUCUGUUUUAUUUAUUUUGUGCUCCAGAUUUUCAGAAUCAUUUAUUAUGGCAUCUCUAACAUACUCCAUUUGUCUAAUAGUGAUUAUUAAGCUUGUAUCCUGCACUAUGACCCAAUUUCUACAAGCAGAUCAUAAAUGUUUCAUCUGCUCUGCCAUAAAGCUACUCCAUCAUA
This is a long non-coding RNA of Lates calcarifer (barramundi perch), 1844 nucleotides long. RefSeq lists it as uncharacterized. The transcript is spliced from 3 exons. Lineage: Eukaryota; Metazoa; Chordata; Actinopteri; Centropomidae. The record is from RefSeq and is a predicted model, not a curated record.